Hyla sarda is the source of this 622-nucleotide long non-coding RNA. RefSeq lists it as uncharacterized. NCBI's taxonomy places the organism in Eukaryota, Metazoa, Chordata, Amphibia, Anura, Hylidae. The record is from RefSeq and is a predicted model, not a curated record. The transcript is spliced from 3 exons.
AACAACACAGGUUAGAAUAUCCUUAGGCAACAGAUUGUGAGGCGGACAGAAGGAGGUGAAGGAUGAAGAGAUGAUGUGAUGUGCCUUCUACACCAUCUGUUCCUAUUUCCCCGGGCUGUGCUGUUGACAUCUGUUGGGCUGUCUCUCAGGCUGUUCUAUCUCCCACCGAUACUUGGCCACUGCAUCCUUUUCAAGCAAGGGCAAUUUAUGCUUCAAUUGAAGAUUAAAUAAGAACUAGCCAUGCUACCUGAGACAGCAGAGGAUGAUGCGUUGUUUUAUGACAGAGGGAGGGGCCGGGGAGAACUGCCAAGACAACACCACCCUGAGGACUACACAACUUCCUGUCAGGAAAGAGGAAGGAACCAGAAGGCUGCUGAGACAACACUAGAUUCCCAAUAAGAGGACUACACGACUUUCUGUCAGGAGAGAGGGAAGAGCCAGGGAGCUGCUGAGACAAUAUGAGACUGACAAGAAGAGGACUACACAACUUCCUGUCAUGGUGAAUCACACAUAAAGACGCUGAAGCCGGUACAAUUAGUGAUAACACAAUAUUAGUAAGUUAUUUAUCUUGGGGGCAGAUAGUUUUAUUUAAAAACAGUUUUCUGAUACCAGAAUACCCCUU